ACGGAAACGUGGUGAGGCCAAGGCCGAGUCGGAAGAGAAGGCUCGGACUCCCGAUCCAGGUUUCCCAGCACGGGACACGGAACCCACGCGGAGCCCAUGCCGCGGAAUAGGCAGACCCGUUGCGGGCCUGCGUAUUUGCGAAGAGCGGGCGGGUGGAUGCCCUUUGGGUUGGGGCUACAGCCGCAGCGCAUCGCAAGACGCCGAGGCCAACCCACGCAACCGAGUAGAGCACGCUUGGUAACCGGAGUCCCGUGCUAGCGGGCGGCGCGCCGAACCCCAGGUUCGGAUCGCCGCCCGCUUCGCAUG
Molecule: non-coding RNA, 306 nt
Filed under: Mycolicibacterium hassiacum DSM 44199
Lineage: Bacteria; Bacillati; Actinomycetota; Actinomycetes; Mycobacteriales; Mycobacteriaceae
Description: Mycobacterium hassiacum DSM 44199 Mycobacterium smegmatis small RNA 1
Rfam family: Mycobacterium smegmatis small RNA 1
About the family: Mycobacterium smegmatis small RNA 1 is highly expressed during stationary phase of growth. Ms1 RNA directly interacts with RNA polymerase (RNAP), but in a different way than 6S, which is present in other bacteria.
Source: Rfam by way of RNAcentral